UAUAUGAGAAUGUCUAUAGAAUGUGCACA
Molecule: non-coding RNA, 29 nt
Filed under: Mus musculus (house mouse)
Lineage: Eukaryota; Metazoa; Chordata; Mammalia; Rodentia; Muridae
Source: RNAcentral